UGGAACUCUGUUUCACCGAGUAGAGCAGGAGAGAAAGGUUCGAUUUUAGCCUUCCCGUUGCUACCAACCGCAGAGAGGAAAGAAGAACAGAAAUUUCUUUGUCCUCUGUUCCGUUCCUUUCUGCGAAGAACAGAAAUUUCUUUGUCCUCUGUUCCGUUCCUUUCUGCGAAGAACAGAAAUUUUUUUUCAGUUUCAAGAUCCGAUCUGCCCCAAUAUUUUCCCGGGCCCCUUUUCUACGAUGAGUAGAGGAAGAAAGUUUUCGAUCUUGAAAGAGCAGAGCGUCCCCGAUCUCUCUGGUCGCAGCCUCGCCUCCGCUGGAAGGAAUCAGCCACCGAGCCCCUUUUCCCCGAUGAGAAGCAGGGGAAAGGGGGCGGUGCAGAGACCCUCUCUUCUCCCUUCUCGGAUCUCGCUGGAAGAAGGAGAGCAGAUCUCCACUGUUCGGGCUCCUUUUUCCCGAUUAGAAGAGUAAGGAGACCCCUCCUUUGUUCGUGCAAGAGAAACAGAGCAGAUCUCCCACCUUCUUCGAUCUCGCUGAAAGAAGGAGAACAGAAUAGGUUCCGUUUCCCCCUCUUUCUUCCAUUCCCUUCUGCGAAGAAGAAUCAAGGAUAGCGUAUCGCUUGCUUAAAUGUUAAGAUUGGGCUGAGGCGGUGGAAAGUUUAGAAGAUUUUGGGCAGAUCUUUGUUAGCAUAUGUGUAUAUGUUGUAUAAGAUACUUUGCAUCUUAUGAAAUGUGACGAUAAAUCUAAACGUGUGGAUUUUGUGUAAGAUCCCUCAUGUAUAAGAUUUUGGAAUGUUAAGUUAAAUUUAUGUAAUGAUAUGAUCUUAUGGUAAUCGUUGGUUUGGUGA
Molecule: long non-coding RNA, 845 nt
Organism: Musa acuminata AAA Group (dessert banana)
Lineage: Eukaryota; Viridiplantae; Streptophyta; Magnoliopsida; Zingiberales; Musaceae
Exons: 2
Source: RefSeq, a predicted model, not a curated record